CUUAAAUUGAAGAGUUUGAUCAUGGCUCAGAUUGAACGCUGGCGGCAGGCCUAACACAUGCAAGUCGAGCGGAAACGA
RNAcentral lists this ribosomal RNA (78 nucleotides) under Vibrio parahaemolyticus. RNAcentral's name for it is "partial 16S ribosomal RNA". It matches the Rfam family "Bacterial small subunit ribosomal RNA", at positions 1 to 75 of the family's 1533-position model. The record is from RNAcentral. Lineage: Bacteria; Pseudomonadati; Pseudomonadota; Gammaproteobacteria; Vibrionales; Vibrionaceae. RNAcentral also lists the same sequence under 2 other names.